This 277-nucleotide ribosomal RNA is filed under the name uncultured bacterium. Its description in RNAcentral is "partial 16S ribosomal RNA". It matches the Rfam family "Bacterial small subunit ribosomal RNA", at positions 506 to 784 of the family's 1533-position model. The record is from RNAcentral.
UGCCAGCCGCCGCGGUAACACGGGGGGCUAGCGUUGUUCGGAAUUACUGGGCGUAAAGCGCGCGUAGGCGGGCUGGUCAGUUGGGGGUGAAAUCCCGAGGCUUAACCUCGGAACUGCCUUCAAUACUGUCAGUCUUGAGAUCGGAAGAGGUGAGUGGAAUUCCUAGUGUAGAGGUGAAAUCCGUAGAUAUUAGGAAGAACACCAGUGGCGAAGGCGGCUCACUGGUCCGAUACUGACGCUGAGGUGCGAAAGCGUGGGGAGCGAACAGGAUUAGAUA